CCUACGGGAGGCAGCAGUAGGGAAUUUUGCGCAAUGGGCGAAAGCCUGACGCAGCAACACCGCGUGAAUGUUAAGCCCUUCGGGGUGUAAAGUUCUGUCAAUAGGGACGAUUUUUGACUGUACCUAUAAAGGAAGCACCGGCUAACUCCGUGCCAGCAGCCGCGGUAAUACGUAGGUGGCGAGCGUUGUCCGGAAUUACUGGGUGUAAAGGGAGUGUAGGCGGGAAAGCAAGUCAGAAGUGAAAACUAUGGGCUUAACCCAUAGCCUGCUUUUGAAACUUUUUUUCUUGAGUGAAGUAGAGGCAAGCGGAAUUCCUAGUGUAGCGGUGAAAUGCGUAGAUAUUAGGAGGAACACCAGUGGCGAAGGCGGCUUGCUGGGCUUUUACUGACGCUGAGGCUCGAAAGCGUGGGGAGCAAACAGGAUUAGAUACCCGUGUAGUC
This 440-nucleotide ribosomal RNA is filed under the name uncultured bacterium. Its description in RNAcentral is "partial 16S ribosomal RNA". It matches the Rfam family "Bacterial small subunit ribosomal RNA", at positions 338 to 795 of the family's 1533-position model. The record is from RNAcentral.